GUAGCGUAUCGUUCGUUCCCUCUUCAUUCUCGUUGAGCGACACAAUUUACAGAGCCAUGAUUGGGCUCGUAAUUAUCAACAAUGACUUUGAGAUGAAAACGAGAGAGAUUUAGGAUUUGACUCUGAUACCGUAUUAUUACGUGAAGUAAAACCGAUAAUCUUUAUGCUUAUGAUGUUAUUAGUUAUAGACAUAUGUAUAAAAUAAAUUUGCAAUAGUAA
This 219-nucleotide long non-coding RNA is filed under the name Carica papaya (papaya). RNAcentral describes it as "long non-coding RNA (CPAP_LNC000621)". The record is from RNAcentral. Lineage: Eukaryota; Viridiplantae; Streptophyta; Magnoliopsida; Brassicales; Caricaceae.